UAGGGAAUCUUCGGCAAUGGGGGCAACCCUGACCGAGCAACGCCGCGUGAGUGAAGAAGGUUUUCGGAUCGUAAAGCUCUGUUGUAAGAGAAGAACGUGUGUGAGAGUGGAAAGCUCACACAGUGACGGUAACUUACCAGAAAGGGACGGCUAACUACGUGCCAA
RNAcentral lists this ribosomal RNA (165 nucleotides) under uncultured bacterium. Its description in RNAcentral is "partial 16S rRNA". It matches the Rfam family "Bacterial small subunit ribosomal RNA", at positions 355 to 511 of the family's 1533-position model. The record is from RNAcentral.